This 444-nucleotide ribosomal RNA is filed under the name uncultured bacterium. RNAcentral's name for it is "partial 16S ribosomal RNA". It matches the Rfam family "Bacterial small subunit ribosomal RNA", at positions 354 to 796 of the family's 1533-position model. The record is from RNAcentral.
GUAGGGAAUAUUGGGCAAUGGUCGGAAGACUGACCCAGCCAUGCCGCGUGCAGGAAGACGGCCCUCUGGGUUGUAAACUGCUUUUAUCUGGGAAGAAAAAGGCCAUGCGUGGCAAAUUGCCGGUACCAGAUGAAUAAGCACCGGCUAACUCCGUGCCAGCAGCCGCGGUAAUACGGAGGGUGCGAGCGUUGUCCGGAUUUAUUGGGUUUAAAGGGUGCGUAGGCGGCUGAUUAAGUCAGCGGUGAAAGACUUCGGCUUAACCGGAGCAGUGCCGUUGAUACUGGUUGGCUUGAGUGUCGGAGGGGUACAUGGAAUUGAUGGUGUAGCGGUGAAAUGCAUAGAUACCAUCAGGAACACCGAUAGCGAAGGCAUUGUACUGGCCGACAACUGACGCUGAUGCACGAAAGUGUGGGGAUCGAACAGGAUUAGAACCCCUUGUAGUCC